AAACAGAAAGUUAGUCUAAUCAAGACAGUUGAUUUCGGCUCAACAAACCAUAGUCCAACCCUAUGACUUUCUUU
RNAcentral lists this transfer RNA (74 nucleotides) under Limosa haemastica. RNAcentral's name for it is "tRNA-Arg". The record is from RNAcentral. Lineage: Eukaryota; Metazoa; Chordata; Aves; Charadriiformes; Scolopacidae.